This 433-nucleotide ribosomal RNA is filed under the name uncultured bacterium. RNAcentral's name for it is "partial 16S ribosomal RNA". It matches the Rfam family "Bacterial small subunit ribosomal RNA", at positions 31 to 507 of the family's 1533-position model. The record is from RNAcentral.
AAAGAAAGUGGGCGGCAUGCCUAACACAUGCAAGUCGAACGAGACCUUCGGGUCUAGUGGCGCACGGGUGCGUAACGCGUGGGAACCUGCCCUUAGGUUCGGAAUAACUCCCCGAAAGGGGUGCUAAUACCGGAUAAUGUCUUCGGACCAAAGAUUUAUCGCCUUUGGAUGGGCCCGCGUUGGAUUAGCUAGUUGGUAGGGUAAAAGCCUACCAAGGCGACGAUCCAUAGCUGGUCUGAGAGGAUGAUCAGCCACACUGGGACUGAGACACGGCCCAGACUCCUACGGGAGGCAGCAGUGGGGAAUAUUGGACAAUGGGCGAAAGCCUGAUCCAGCAAUGCCGCGUGAGUGAUGAAGGCCUUAGGGUUGUAAAGCUCUUUUACCCGGGAUGAUAAUGACAGUACCGGGAGAAUAAGCUCCGGCUAACUCCGUG